GAUUAACGCUGGCGGCGUGCCUGACACAUGCAAGUCGAACGAGUUCUAGUUGCCCGCAAGGGUGACUAGCGCUAGUGGCGGACGGGUGAGUAACACGUGGGCAACCUGCCUGAGAGCGCGGAAUAACCCUGCGAAAGCAGAGCUAAUACCGCAUGUGGUUGUUGGUUGGCAUCUAUCAACAACUAAAGUCGCAAGACGCUCUCAGAUGGGCCCGCGGCCUAUUAGGCUAGUUGGUGAGGUAACGGCCCACCAAGGCUGUGAUGGGUAGCUGGUCUGAGAGGACGGACAGCCACACUGGGACUGAGACACGGCCCAGGACUCCUACGGGAGGCAGCAGUGAGGAAUUUUCCGCAAUGGGCGAAAGCCUGACGGAGCAACGCCGCGUGAGGGAUGAAGUCUC
This 400-nucleotide ribosomal RNA is filed under the name uncultured bacterium. RNAcentral describes it as "bacterial SSU rRNA". It matches the Rfam family "Bacterial small subunit ribosomal RNA", at positions 28 to 417 of the family's 1533-position model. The record is from RNAcentral.